AUUGAACGCUGGCGGCAGGCCUAACACAUGCAAGUCGAGCGGAUGAAGGGAGCUUGCUCCUGGAUUCAGCUGCGGACGGGUGAGUAAUGCCUAGGAAUCUGCCUGGUAGUAGGGGAUAACGUCCGGAAACGGGCGCUAAUACCGCAUACGUCCUGAGGGAGAAAGUGGGGGAUCUUCGGACCUCACGCUAUCAGAUGAGCCUAGGUCGGAUUAGCUAGUUGGUGGGGUAAAGGCCUACCAAGGCGACGAUCCGUAACUGGUCUGAGAGGAUGAUCAGUCACACUGGAACUGAGACACGGUCCAGACUCCUACGGGAGGCAGCAGUGGGGAAUAUUGGACAAUGGGCGAAAGCCUGAUCCAGCCAUGCCGCGUGUGUGAAGAAGGUCUUCGGAUUGUAAAGCACUUUAAGUUGGGAGGAAGGGCAGUAAGUUAAUACCUUGCUGUUUUGACGUUACCAACAGAAUAAGCACCGGCUAACUUCGUG
This 484-nucleotide ribosomal RNA is filed under the name uncultured bacterium. Its description in RNAcentral is "partial 16S ribosomal RNA". It matches the Rfam family "Bacterial small subunit ribosomal RNA", at positions 30 to 507 of the family's 1533-position model. The record is from RNAcentral.